UGGGGAAUUUUGGACAAUGGGCGCAAGCCUGAUCCAGCCAUGCCGCGUGCGGGAAGAAGGCCUUCGGGUUGUAAACCGCUUUUGUCAGGGAAGAAAUCUUCUGAGUUAAUACCUCGGGAGGAUGACGGUACCUGAAGAAUAAGCACCGGCUAACUACGUGCCAGCAGCCGCGGUAAUACGUAGGGUGCAAGCGUUAAUCGGAAUUACUGGGCGUAAAGCGUGCGCAGGCGGUUUUGUAAGACAGAGGUGAAAUCCCCGGGCUCAACCUGGGAACUGCCUUUGUGACUGCAAGGCUUGAGUGCGGCAGAGGGGGAUGGAAUUCCGCGUGUAGCAGUGAAAUGCGUAGAUAUGCGGAGGAACACCGAUGGCGAAGGCAAUCCCCUGGGCCUGCACUGACGCUCAUGCACGAAAGCGUGGGGAGCAAACAGGAUUAGAUAGCCCUGGUAGUCCACGCCCUAAACGAUGUCAACUGGUUGUUGGGAAGGUUCCUUCUCAGUAACGUAGCUAACGCGUGAAGUUGACCGCCUGGGGAGUACGGCCGCAAGGUUGAAACUCAAAUGAAUUGACGGGGUCAUAGCUGUUUCC
Molecule: ribosomal RNA, 585 nt
Filed under: uncultured bacterium
Lineage: Bacteria
Description: partial 16S ribosomal RNA
Rfam family: Bacterial small subunit ribosomal RNA
Source: RNAcentral